Esox lucius (northern pike) is the source of this 401-nucleotide long non-coding RNA. RefSeq lists it as uncharacterized. The transcript has 3 exons. The record is from RefSeq and is a predicted model, not a curated record. NCBI's taxonomy places the organism in Eukaryota, Metazoa, Chordata, Actinopteri, Esociformes, Esocidae.
GUUUGGAACAUUUUUGGCAUGCUCCAUCAUUGCUCGAUCAUGUUGAAAAGGUUUUCGCAAGAGUAAGCUCUGGACGUUGGGCAGAACACCCAGCACUAGGAUUGAAUAUCAGUUGCUUGCAUAUGAGGGAAGGCUUCAUCAAGAUACCACCACGUGGCAAAACUGUGAAACUGCACCCAGAAUUAUGUCAAUGAGAUUUUGAAGGUGUUAAUAAUUGUGUGCACCCUGUAAUAUGUACUGUAGUGAUCACUGUAAUGUUCUAUAGGCUGUAACAUUUACUGUUUUUUGUGUUAUUCAUUUGGAACUAAAACAUUUUCAUCAAUGAUAUUAGGUGUUUGGUCAGUCAAUUAAUAUGACUCAAUUCCUAGCAGUUACUUUCUUGAUAUUUACACAAGGGCUAA